RNAcentral lists this ribosomal RNA (301 nucleotides) under uncultured bacterium. RNAcentral describes it as "partial 16S ribosomal RNA". It matches the Rfam family "Bacterial small subunit ribosomal RNA", at positions 509 to 807 of the family's 1533-position model. The record is from RNAcentral.
CAGUCGCCACGGGAAUACGAAGGGGGCUAGCGUUGUUCGGAUUUACUGGGCGUAAAGGGCGCGUAGGCGGACUGAUAAGUCAGGGGUGAAAUCCCAAGGCUCAACCUUGGAACUGCCUUUGAUACUGUUUGUCUUGAGUUCGAGAGAGGUAAGUGGAACUGCGAGUGUAGAGGUGAAAUUCGUAGAUAUUCGGAAGAACACCAGUGGCGAAGGCGGCUCACUGGACGACUGUUGACGCUGAGGUGCGAAAGCGUGGGGAGCAAACAGGAUUAGAUACCCCAGUAGUCCCUGUCUCUUAUAC